Molecule: ribosomal RNA, 293 nt
Filed under: uncultured bacterium
Lineage: Bacteria
Description: partial 16S ribosomal RNA
Rfam family: Bacterial small subunit ribosomal RNA
Source: RNAcentral
GUGCCAGCAGCCGCGGUAAUACGUAGGGGGCGAGCGUUGUCCGGAUUUAUUGGGCGUAAAGAGCUCGUAGGCGGUUUGGUAAGUCGGAUGUGAAAUCUCCACGCUCAACGUGGAGGCGCCAUCCGGUACUGCCAUGACUAGAGUCCGGUAGGGGAGUGUGGAAUUCCCGGUGUAGCGGUGAAAUGCGCAGAGAUCGGGAGGAACACCCGUAGCGAAGGCGGCACUCUGGGCCGGUACUGACGCUGAGGAGCGAAAGCGUGGGGAGCGAACAGGAUUAGAUACCCUAGUAGUCC